GACGAACGCUGGCGGCGUGCUUAACACAUGCAAGUCGAACGGAAAGGCCCUGCUUUUGUGGGGUGCUCGAGUGGCGAACGGGUGAGUAACACGUGAGUAACCUGCCCUUGACUUUGGGAUAACUUCAGGAAACUGGGGCUAAUACCGGAUAGGAGCUCCUGCUGCAUGGUGGGGGUUGGAAAGUUUCGGCGGUUGGGGAUGGACUCGCGGCUUAUCAGCUUGUUGGUGGGGUAGUGGCUUACCAAGGCUUUGACGGGUAGCCGGCCUGAGAGGGUGACCGGCAACAUUGGGACUGAGAUACGGCCCAGAGUACUACGGGAGGCAGCAGUGGGGAAUAUUGCACAAUGGGCGGAAGCCUGAUGCAGCAACGCCGCGUGCGGGAUGACGGCCUUCGGGUUGUAAACCGCUUUCGCCUGUGACGAAGCGUGAGUGACGGUAAUGGGUAAAGAAGCACCGGCUAACUACGUG
Molecule: ribosomal RNA, 468 nt
Filed under: uncultured bacterium
Lineage: Bacteria
Description: partial 16S ribosomal RNA
Rfam family: Bacterial small subunit ribosomal RNA
Source: RNAcentral